UAUUUUUCUCCCUUUCAGUGUGAAACUAUCAUAGAACAGUAUGAAGAUGAAAUAUACUCACUUAUCGCCCAGGAGGCAGACUUUCUGGCUGACAAGCUGUGCAUUGAAAAAUCAGGUCUUUGUCCAAACCCCGAGAUGCAUGGUGAGCUCUAGAACAACUGGAGUCUGCUGCUAUUACAGAUGAAGAACGUCAAGUGAAAUAUCCCUACAAUUUCUGCCUUCCAUUAACCCUUAUCUUUAUGGUGGGUUGUUGUGUGUUUUUUUUAAAAAGACAUCCACCUUGAUACUGAUAAUAUAAAGUUGCCAUCUGCACCAAUUAUUGAGGACACUGGACUGGGACUAGAAUGGUCAGUGGUGAAAAUUAUUCCCAAGACUGUUGUGUCAGUCAUGCUCUUUUUCAAGAACCCCAAUGCCUGGUAGUAAGAGAAUUUGUUCGCUCACUGGUAGAAUGGUAACUCUUGCUUAACAGAAGAUGGCCACGUGGAUUGAAGCAAAAUUAUGGCGCUGUGUAUUGUUAAUCUCUUGUUUUAGCCAGUGUGGUUUUACCAAGUCAUUGUGAAUAUAUGAACCAGUUUUAAUGAUGAUGAUGAUGAUGAUGAUGCUCAGGGCUCAUCUUAGACUGCUAAUGACACUGGUGUUGUCACACUGAAGUCAACAGAACUGUGCCACUUUAAGUAAAUGUCAACUGGUUCCUGUUGCUAUAAAUCAACUUUUUGGCAGAAGCUUUCUCAACAUACCAUCCUUUAGAAGUGAUCUGAUUUAAAGAAACUUACUUUGUUUAGUAGAAACCAUUGACAGCAUUUUGGGUGCUCUAGGUAUUGGAAGAGAUCACUGAGCAAAAAUUCUAUCAAAUAGCAGAAUCUCUUGUUUAGAGGUAGAAUCCAGCCAGCCCAUAAGGCAGUUGCUUCUGUUCCUUGCACUCAAAACAAACGAAAAGGUGGAAUUUAAUGUGAUCACCGUAAAUUGCAAUCAGAUUGUAAAGAGGUUGUUUCAAAAUGGGGAAAUAUCAGUGUGCCCCUGACGCUUCUUGCACCAGUAAACCGCGUCUAAUAAUUUUCUUUGAUUGGAUGGUAUUUUAUUACUAACUCGCACAAUAUGUGUGUUUAUGAUUUUCAACACUUUAUAAUGAUAAAAGCCUCUCUCAUUCAGUAUUUGUUACUUAUAGCUACUCUCAAACUUUUUUUUUCACUUUUUGGUAAAUUCUUACUGAAGUUUGUUCUACGCAUGGAUCAAACCACAUGCUGGCCUCCCUUAGUUUUAAAAAGAAGGGUUAGUGUGCAAAAAUAUUGUCUAUAUUUUGAAAUAAGAGGUUUUGAAGUAUAAAGUUUCCCACAUUGGAAAAAUAACUUCCAAAAAUAUAUUUUGUGUACAGUUUUGUUUUGAGGCUACUGAAAGUCAAUCAAAAUCCAUUUCCUAUAAACUUAGUAGAAAGUUGAUAAAGGGAUUUAAAAGAAAAUAGUCAUCCCUAAAACAGUGUGUACUUAAAAGGAAACAGCUCGGCAUUGAAAUUUUAGUAAGGGAGAUGUAUAAAAUGUCGCACUGUAGUAAGAUGAAAAACCUAUAUAUGCCUACCUUAAACAUGGUUUAUUUCAAGCCAUCAACUGUCCUCUCAUACUAUUACACAUUUUCAUUGUUUUCAAAAUUAAUGAGUUCUUUUGAAACCAACAGAACUUAACAACUUUUUUUGUUUAGGAGUGGAAUAUCUGAGCCAGGAGAAAACUCUUGAUGCUUUUUGGUCAUUGUGAAUUUUUAUUAAUUUUGUUUGAGUGGAGUCAACAAUUCACUUUUUACCUUUCCCUUUAUAUCUUGUUGUGUGGUUUAUGUUCCUUUCCACAAACCUUACAUGUCACAGAUGGUGGAUUUACAAUGACUGGCAACUGAUAUUACUGACCCUGACCCUGAUAUUACUUGGAAGUAAACACCAUCGCUAUCAAUAGAUAUCCUUCUGAGUAAUGUGCUUAGGCCUAUGUGUUAGUCUCAUGGCAGUGGAUAUGACUACACUGGCUUACAUUCAAUUCUACCUAUCUCAACUUAACUGGAUUGUACAACAUCAGAGCCACCAGCCCCAACCCAAAGUCCAAUUACUUGGAAUUAUAAUCCAUUAAAGUCAUUGGAACUUACUUCCAAAUAUAUAAGUUUAGAAUCGGGGGGAUUGCCUGUAAACCUCCACCUACAUCACAUAAACAGAAACCACUGGAUCCACAAUGGGUACUUAAAUAUUAUUUUUAGCGGCAUGUUUUAUCAACAAGAUUUUCCUCAGUUUUAUAUUCAUCCUUUGUCUGUGUUGAGUAGUAACAGUCUAUUGUCUACCUCAGCAAAUGACAUUAAAUUUCUUUCUUUCAUUUAAAUAAUACAUUUUAUCUAAUUAGUAUGGUUUCUAGUCUGUUGAAUAACAAAGGUGAAUAUACCAGUCAGUUUGAGGACUUUCAUUUUGACAUGAAACUAUUAUGCUUAGCAAACACCCCAAAUAUGAAGAUGAAACAGAGAGGUUUCCAGUUGGCUUCAUUUAGACAAAUAGAGCUGGAAACUCCGUCCCUAUUCAUGGUGGAUGGAAAAUUAAAUGGAAAGGGUCAAAUUGCUUCCUUCACACUUCAUGGAAUCCUAUUGAUUUUUAGGGCAAAGAUAAGGAAAGAACUUACCCAAAAUCUAUACUUUAUAUAUAUUAAAAGGGGGCAUAAUCAACUUCAAAUCUCAUCAGUUUAUUUUAAUUAGUGAGAAGUGGUCUCAGUAUCCCAAUUAGUUUGGGGAAUGGUGAAAUCAUAUAUAUACCCUCACAAAGAGAAGAAAAGAAAAAUAAGUCCGGUGUUUGCAUGCACUAUUCUGAUGGCAAGGGAAAAAUUCAGGGUUGUAUGCAAGGCUAGUCAUAUUCCAUGUAGACCGAUCAUAAUUAAUUGACAUUACUAACUUACACACAUUCAUUUCAGUGGGUAUACUUUGAGUAAAAUUUAGUUGAAAAAACCCCUCUAUGGAAAAAUCCAGUAUAUAUGACUGCACAUCAAAAGUCCUUUCAGACUUUCUGCUACAAAGUUAACCAAUUGACAGUGUAAGCACUUCAAAACACUACUUUUUCCUCCUAUUUCCAUCUGCUCUAGUAAUCGUCAACAUUUCAGUUACAGCUGUCAGUAAAACUGUAUCUGACUGAA
Molecule: non-coding RNA, 3143 nt
Organism: Podarcis muralis (Common wall lizard)
Lineage: Eukaryota; Metazoa; Chordata; Lepidosauria; Squamata; Lacertidae
Source: RefSeq, a predicted model, not a curated record